AGGAACAUGUGGUUUAAUUCGAUGAUACGCGAGGAACCUUACCUGGGCUAGAACGCAGAAUGACAGAUGCCGAAAGGUGUUUUCCCAGCAAUGGGCAUUUUGCGAGGUGCUGCAUGGUUGUCGUCAGCUCGUGCCGUGAGGUGUCGGGUUAAGUCCCAUAACGAGCGCAACCCCUAUUGUUAGUUGCCAGCGGGUAAUGCCGGGAUCUCUAACGAAACUGCCGGUGUAAACCGGAGGAAGUGGGGAUGACGUCAAAUCAGCACGGCCCUUAUGUCCAGGGCUACACACGUGUUACAAUGGCCGAUACAACGGGCAGCCACCUGGUGACAGGGAGCUAAUCCUAAAAGUCGGUCUCAGUUCGGAUCGAAGCCUGCAACCCGACUUCGUGAAGCUGGAUUCGCUAGUAAUCGCAGAUCAGCCAUGCUGCGGUGAAUACGUUCCCGGGCCUU
This 449-nucleotide ribosomal RNA is filed under the name uncultured Sphingobacteriales bacterium. RNAcentral's name for it is "bacterial SSU rRNA". It matches the Rfam family "Bacterial small subunit ribosomal RNA", at positions 933 to 1382 of the family's 1533-position model. Lineage: Bacteria; Pseudomonadati; Bacteroidota; Sphingobacteriia; Sphingobacteriales. The record is from RNAcentral.